RNAcentral lists this ribosomal RNA (370 nucleotides) under uncultured cyanobacterium. RNAcentral's name for it is "bacterial SSU rRNA". It matches the Rfam family "Bacterial small subunit ribosomal RNA", at positions 386 to 770 of the family's 1533-position model. The record is from RNAcentral. Lineage: Bacteria; Bacillati; Cyanobacteriota.
ACGGAGCAAGACCGCGUGGGGGAGGAAGGUUCUUGGAUUGUAAACCCCUUUUCUCAGGGAAGAACACAAUGACGGUACCUGAGGAAUCAGCAUCGGCUAACUCCGUGCCAGCAGCCGCGGUAAUACGGAGGAUGCAAGCGUUAUCCGGAAUGAUUGGGCGUAAAGCGUCCGCAGGUGGCAGUUCAAGUCUGCUGUCAAAGACCGGGGCUUAACUUCGGAAAGGCAGUGGAAACUGAACAGCUAGAGUAUGGUAGGGGCAAAGGGAAUUCCUGGUGUAGCGGUGAAAUGCGUAGAGAUUGGGAAGAACACCGGUGGCGAAAGCGCUCUGCUAGGCCGAAACUGACACUCAUGGACGAAAGCUAGGGGAGCG